AUAUGGGUACUUCUUCGUAUCCACCACCAACAGGGGCCACACAAGAUACCUUGGAGGCGAACUUCGAAGACUGGAGUCGGUUAUUUUCUACACCUAACCAGCAGGCCGAUCCUACCUUCCAGACACAUGUGGCCACCAGACGUCCAGUUAGAGACGUAGGGCCUCCAGACCGACACACCUACCCUACAGACCAUGUCCACGCACAUCGUAAAAGUGGUCGACAUGGCCGGGGUGGUUAGGAGGUGCUUCUAGUUAUUUCUGUAUUUUUGUUAUGGACAUGUCGUCAUGUUAUACUUAUUUCGUUCUUAUGCAUCACCUAUUUUGUUCUCA
Panicum virgatum (switchgrass) is the source of this 330-nucleotide long non-coding RNA. RefSeq lists it as uncharacterized. The transcript is spliced from 2 exons. NCBI's taxonomy places the organism in Eukaryota, Viridiplantae, Streptophyta, Magnoliopsida, Poales, Poaceae. The record is from RefSeq and is a predicted model, not a curated record.